RNAcentral lists this ribosomal RNA (389 nucleotides) under Polykrikos sp. RNAcentral describes it as "partial small subunit ribosomal RNA". It matches the Rfam family "Eukaryotic small subunit ribosomal RNA", at positions 582 to 975 of the family's 1831-position model. The record is from RNAcentral. Lineage: Eukaryota; Dinophyceae; Gymnodiniales; Gymnodiniaceae.
AUUCCAGCUCCAAUAGCGUAUAUUAAAGUUGUUGCGGUUAAAAAGCUCGUAGUUGGAUUUCUGCUAGGGACGAUCGGUCCACCCACUGGGUGUGUAUCUGUGUCGGCCUUGGCAUCUUCCUGGCGAACGCAACUGCACUUGACUGUGUGGUGCGGUAUCCAGGACUUUUACUUUGAGGAAAUUAGAGUGUUUCAAGCAGGCGCACGCCUUGAAUACAUUAGCAUGGAAUAAUAAGAUAGGACCUGAGUUCUAUUUUGUUGGUUUCUAGAGCUGAGGUAAUGAUUAAUAGGGAUAGUUGGGGGUGCUAGUAUUGAGCGGCCAGAGGUGAAAUUCUUGGAUUCGCUCAAGGCUAACUUAUGCGAAAGCAUUCACCAAGGAUGUCUUCAUUG